Bos taurus (domestic cattle) is the source of this 493-nucleotide long non-coding RNA. Lineage: Eukaryota; Metazoa; Chordata; Mammalia; Artiodactyla; Bovidae. The record is from Ensembl.
GUGGUUUCUGAAAGUCAGGAUAGCAUUGAGACGUUUGGUUUUAAGAAUCCAGACAUUAGAUGAAGACUGUGUCAGAGGAAGGACCAAUGGGAAUUGGUAUACUAAACAUAAAGAAUUCCAACUAGAUAUCAGCUAACAGAACAGGAAAGGUAACAGCUCUGCCAAAACUAAUAGUGGAAAGAAAAGCUAGCUCAAAUGGCAGCUUAGCCAGUGUCCAUCUGAGGCCUGCACUUCGUUGGCACGGAAACAGGCCGGCUGGAUUUUCAGUAUCAGAGACAGGAGUCAGACCUUCUUCGAGGUGCUGGACAGACUGUGGUAAAUAUGACAGACCACUCUCCCACCUCCUUAGGUGGCUUACCUAAAAGGGCAGAGCUGGUAACCGUGCCCCAGACUCUUAGCACUGACCUAAGACUUCAUGGAUUUAGGCAUCACCUCAUGGUUCCUAACACUGAUGUGUCUCCAAAAACAACAGCUGGGGCCAUGUAACCUGGAG